RNAcentral lists this long non-coding RNA (1111 nucleotides) under Elaeis guineensis (African oil palm). Its description in RNAcentral is "long non-coding RNA (EGUI_LNC062104)". Lineage: Eukaryota; Viridiplantae; Streptophyta; Magnoliopsida; Arecales; Arecaceae. The record is from RNAcentral.
UGUUAGGAUAUGUUAGAGAUCAGUUUAAAAUCCUUAUUAAAAAUUAUAUUAAGUUGUAGUAUCAGGAUUCACUUGCUAACCGAAUGUCAGAUUCAUUAAUCAGUUGGUAUCUAAGAAAGUGUUAAAUAUGGUUAUUUAAUUAGAUCCGUUUGCUUACCUGAUUAAGUUGUUGAUGUCUAGGAAAAGCAUAAGAGAGCCUCCCACCUACUUAUCUAGCCAAUCUGGUCUAUUGAGUUUUGAAUUUGGAUUGCUUAGUGAUUUAGACACUAUAUGUGCCUUCCUUCAUACUAAGCCAAUAUCAUGUCAAAAACUACAUUGAGUUUAUUGUGCAACCACAAGACUUACUAUGAAGAUUGAUAUGAGAUUGUCUUAGUGCAUAUUUGAUGCUUACAGUAUUUUGGAUAUGUUAUUUUGUUAUGCAACCAUAAGAGCAACAUCAUUUAGAUAUGACUGUAUGAAAAUAAAGGAUCUAACUUAACUAAAAUAUUAUAGUUUGUUGUGCAACUACAAGACUAUGAAUAUUUUAAAGGCAGGAAGAUGUUGAGAGUUGCAUGAGAUACAAUUGAAAAAGGAGUUUUCUAACUUUGAACUCAUGAAGGUUUGUUGUGUAAUCAUAAAAUCUUUUGUGAGAAAUUAAGAUCUCAACCCCACUAAGAAAAUCAAUAGGGUUUCUCUUUUAUCAUAGGAUAGGGCUAUGGUAUUCGAUGAAAUAAUGAGAGUAACAAUUAGACAAGAGAUCUAAUUUAGUAAUGCAUGUCAUCAUAAGUUAUCCACUUAUAUUGGUUCCUUGUUAUUGUAGAUUAAUCCGCACAAUGGCAUCCUCACUUUCACUGCAUGGCAUACUUAAGAAAUAUAUGUGGAUUGGCUGAGGAACCUGAGAAUUAUUCUCACACAGGAGAAAGUCUCCUGUAUUCUGGAUAUCUUUACACCCGAUAUAAUCGGUUAAGAUGCAACUAAGGAGGAAAGGGCCACAUACAAGAUGUAGUAAGAUGACAGUAUGACUGUCAAAUAUGUCAUGCUUGCCUCUAUGAUUAAUGAGCUUCAAAGGUAACAUGAAGGCAUGGAUAUUCCUUCCAUACUCCUUGAUCUAAAAGAGUUAUAUAGAGAACAA